This 792-nucleotide ribosomal RNA is filed under the name uncultured archaeon. RNAcentral describes it as "bacterial SSU rRNA". It matches the Rfam family "Archaeal small subunit ribosomal RNA", at positions 85 to 879 of the family's 1478-position model. The record is from RNAcentral.
ACUGCUCAGUAACACGUGGACAACCUGCCCUUAGGACGGGGAUAAACCCGGGAAACUGGGUAUAAUACCCGAUAGGUCUCGAUUGCUGGAAUGCAUCGAGAUUUAAAGCUCCGGCGCCUAAGGAUGGGUCUGCGGCCUAUCAGGUAGUAGUGGGUGUAGCGUACCUACUAGCCUACGACGGGUACGGGCUGUGAGAGCAAGAGCCCGGAGAUGGAUUCUGAGACACGAAUCCAGGCCCUACGGGGUGCAGCAGGCGCGAAAACUUUACAAUGCUGGCAACAGCGAUAAGGGAACCUCGAGUGCCAGGUUACAAAUCUGGCUGUCGAGAUGCCUAAAAAGCAUUUCAUAGCAAGGGCCGGGCAAGACCGGUGCCAGCCGCCGCGGUAACACCGGCGGCUCGAGUGGUAACCGUUAUUAUUGGGUCUAAAGGGUCUGUAGCCGGCCGGAUAAGUCUCUUGAGAAAUCUGGCAGCUUAACUGUCAGGCUUUCAGGAGAUACUGUCUGGCUCGAGGCCGGGAGAGGUGAGAGGUACUUCAGGGGUAGGGGUGAAAUCUUGUAAUCCUUGAAGGACCACCAGUGGCGAAGGCGUCUCACCAGAACGGACCUGACGGCAAGGGACGAAAGCUAGGGGCACGAACCGGAUUAGAUACCCGGGUAGUCCUAGCCGUAAACGAUACUCGCUAGGUGUCGGCCACGGUGCGACCGUUGUCGGUGCCGUAGGAAGCCGUGAAGCGAGCCACCUGGGAAGUACGGCCGCAAGGCUGAAACUUAAAGGAAUUGGCGGGGGAGCAC